UAUUAGUGGAAACAACAAUAAUCUGUUACAAAGAAUACGUCCGCUCUAACAAAACCCAACUUCAAGGUCAUUACGGGCUUAACAUGAAGGCCCAAAUUCCGCUGACUAUUCCCGCUAAAUUAGGGUCUGUUUGAUACAUGAGUUUUAUUUUCCUAAUUUCCCGCUUCUUGACUCGGUAAGAUGUUUUACGCAUCUAAAUUGAAAGAGCCAUAUCCUCCCAAAAUCUUCACUUCUCACCUCCUCUCCUCUCGCCGGCCCGCCUCUCUCUCAUGGCGUUCUUUGGCUCUCACCAGCGCUGUCAUCAACUUCACUACAGUGCUCAACGUAUUACCAUGAUAUGUGGGCAUCAAGAGCUGGUGGUUUACAUCAUGCCAAGAAGUUUGAAGCAUAUGACUUUUGUUACAUAAAUAACUUGGUUUGGGGAAUUUUGGAAGUAUUGUGCCCAUGUUAAAAGCUUAGCAAAGGAGCCAAAAAUGCUGUUUUGAAGUAGAUAAUGUCAAGCUGUGGGGUGCUUAUGAUGGUCUUAAUGUGGCUAGAACCUUAGGAGUAAGGAAGGUGCUUCUCGAAACUUGAUAGUAUAUCCACAAUCAAGAUUCUGACAUCCACUCUAAAUGAACCUUCAUCUAAUGGCCUGCUGCGUUCAAUUCAUCAUAGGAUGUAGCUAGAUUGGGAUCUCCAAAUUACUCACACUUAUCGUGAAGAGAAUUGAGCUCCAGAUGCAAUGGCAAAAGAAGCUGGUUCCAUGAGCUUGGGGCUUUGCUAAUUUUACUCUCCUCCAGAGGCUUUACUGCAAAUUUUACAAGAGGAUAGCAUUGGUUUUGCUAUUCCUAGAAUGGUCAUAGGUUUAUUUGUUUUCAUUCCAUACUGUAGCAAAAACAAAGUUGUUUUGGAAAGAGGUCUUGUAUUGACUAUAUAUUCAAAUCUGUAUAAAA
This is a long non-coding RNA of Gossypium arboreum, 932 nucleotides long. RefSeq lists it as uncharacterized. The record is from RefSeq and is a predicted model, not a curated record. NCBI's taxonomy places the organism in Eukaryota, Viridiplantae, Streptophyta, Magnoliopsida, Malvales, Malvaceae. The transcript is spliced from 2 exons.